RNAcentral lists this ribosomal RNA (112 nucleotides) under Riccia verrucosa. RNAcentral's name for it is "partial 5.8S ribosomal RNA". It matches the Rfam family "5.8S ribosomal RNA", at positions 43 to 154 of the family's 154-position model. Rfam says of the family: 5.8S ribosomal RNA (5.8S rRNA) is a component of the large subunit of the eukaryotic ribosome. It is transcribed by RNA polymerase I as part of the 45S precursor that also contains 18S and 28S rRNA. Lineage: Eukaryota; Viridiplantae; Streptophyta; Marchantiopsida; Marchantiales; Ricciaceae. The record is from RNAcentral.
ACGCAGCGAAAUGCGAUACCUAGUGUGAAUUGCAGAAUUCCGCGAAUCAUCGAGUCUUUGAACGCAUAUUGCGCCCGAGGCUCGCGCCGAGGGCACGUCUGUCUGAGCGUCA